GACGAACGCUGGCGGCGUGCUUAACACAUGCAAGUCGAACGGAAAGGCCCUGCUUUUGUGGGGUGCUCGAGUGGCGAACGGGUGAGUAACACGUGAGUAACCUGCCCUUGACUUUGGGAUAACUUCAGGAAACUGGGGCUAAUACCGGAUAGGAGCUCCUGCUGCAUGGUGGGGGUUGGAAAGUUUCGGCGGUUGGGGAUGGACUCGCGGCUUAUCAGCUUGUUGGUGGGGUAGUGGCUUACCAAGGCUUUGACGGGUAGCCGGCCUGAGAGGGUGACCGGCCACAUUGGGACUGAGAUACGGCCCAGACUCCUACGGGCGGCCGCAGUGGGGAAUAUUGCGCAAUGGGCGGAAGCCUGAUGCAGCAACGCCGCGUGCGGGAUGACGGCCUUCGGGUUGUAAACCGCUUUCGCCUGUGACGACGCGUGAGUGACGGUAAUGGGUAAAGAAGCACCGGCUAACUACGUG
RNAcentral lists this ribosomal RNA (468 nucleotides) under uncultured bacterium. RNAcentral's name for it is "partial 16S ribosomal RNA". It matches the Rfam family "Bacterial small subunit ribosomal RNA", at positions 28 to 507 of the family's 1533-position model. The record is from RNAcentral.